This 1277-nucleotide long non-coding RNA is filed under the name Capsicum annuum. RNAcentral's name for it is "long non-coding RNA (CANN_LNC010960)". Lineage: Eukaryota; Viridiplantae; Streptophyta; Magnoliopsida; Solanales; Solanaceae. The record is from RNAcentral.
UCACAUAAAUAUUGCUUAAGACAAAGUUCCACGGGCAUUUUUUUAAACAAGAAAAGAUCAUAUUUUUAGCAAUCUAUAAUGUGCAUCCAAUUCAACAUCACACCUCUGGAUAAACAAAUUCCUUCUCAGCUUGAAUAAGGGGAUCAAAAACCUUUACAGGUACGACCUACUGCUCAUACAAUUUGGGAUCCUCAUUUUGGUUAACCAGCUGUGGAAGUUUUACUCGAGAGGUGGCUCUUAGCCCGAUAAAUAUCGAUUAUUUUGAUGUUUAUCAGUAGCGGUACACAAUCAAUUUAUGCACAAAUCAAGAUCUCUAUACGAGCACUCUUUUUCUAUUGUUUUUUCCAUAUGAGCACUCUUUUUUUAUUAUUUUUUUCUGCCAUAUGCUUAAGCAGGUUUGUUACAUCUACAACCGAAAUGGAAAUCGAGCAUUCCUUGAUUCAAAAAUGCCAAAUCUCAUCUGAAUCAUUAUUUGUCAGGACUUUUUGGCAUACGUUCCUUGGCUUGGACUGGAAAUUUAGUUCAUAUUGCUAUUCCUGCAUUCAGAAGAGAAUACUUCGAUGGAAUAAUUUCUUAGAUGUAUUGCUCAAUCUCUAAUGAUUAGGCCCACUUUUUACAGGUCAAUGGAAUCUUUAUGCUCAAAACGGUGAUUCAAGUAGUCGUCUCAGCUUGAAUAAGGGCGUCAAGACCCACCUGCAUCUUAGUGUCAAUGACAUUAUAGUAUGCCUUGACAUCUCUGAGAAGGAUGAGCAAUUGUUAUUUUUGUUUAUCUGCGGAAGCAAGAUUCUCACUGAGUCUUUCAACAAUCUCAAAAUCUCUGCUUUACGAGCUUCAUCUAGCUUCUUCUCCAACUCAGUGUAGCAGGUAGAUGCCUCAUUGAAUUCUUCAACAACUUCUCUUCUGUUACGGAUAGAUUGUCUCUGCGGUGAUGGACAUUACGACCUCCUAGGUUAACUUAAGCUUGUUUGGUAUGGUGGCUCUAAUUCGAUCAAAAACUUGACUGAGCAAAAGAUGCGGACAAUUGUAUACAAUAUACAAUUAUGUUGGUGCAUUUUAAUAUUAAAAUUAAAUUGCGUGAUAAUUUAUGGAUAAUAUAAAGUGAAGAAAGUGGUGGUCAUUAGUUUGUGAUAACUGUUGUAACAUCUCACUUUAUUAAUCCAUAAUUCUACCACUUAAUAUUCCUUUACUCUCAUUAUUUUUAUGUCUUUAAUUUAUGAGUUAGUGGUAAGAAUGUCCGAAUAAGUUUUUUGUAACUUCUACCAUUAUUCUACCUCUUU